GGGUCUGAUCGCAUCUGUACACCAACCUUCAAAACCAGGGCUCACCUACAGCCCUCAGCAGGCAUCAUGGAAUGUGUGGAUUUAAGGAGUCUCUUCACCGUAGCCCAUUUCAUAAAGGCCAGAUGUGACCACGGCCUGAAAGCUGGUGUCUCCAAGAAUAAGAAUUAUGUCUUUUUUGAGGUGGAGAUCCUGGAUCCCAAGAGCAAGGCUCAACUCUGCUACCUGGAUAAGGUAGAGCCCAACGCCACCAUUGCAGAGAUCAAGACAUUGUUGCACAAAAUUUACCCCAAGUUUUAUCCAUCAAGACAGGCACUGAAGCUACAUCCAGAGGGAAAGGCCCUCAGUGAUGAUGAUGUGCUGGAGGAUCUACCAGUUGGCACAACAGCAACAAUGUUCUUCCAGGACCUCGGCCCACAGUUAGGUUGGACUAUGGUAUUUCUGGCAGAAUGUCUUGGGCCGCUUUUCAUUUACCUGCUGUUCUUCUUUCGGCUUCCAUACAUCUACGGGCACGAGUAUGACUACACCCGGAGUCCAUUUAAAGUUGUCAGGCUGGCUUGCUGGUGCCACUCUCUUCAUUACAUUAAGAGGCUCGUGGAAACUAUUUUUAUCCAUCGCUUCUCUGGUGGAACAUUACCUUUACGCACCAUCAUGAUGCUCUGUCUGUAUUACUGGGGGUUUGCAGCAUGGCAGGCGUAUUACAUCAACCAUCCACUCUACACCCCACCAACCUAUGGGAGACUUCAAAUCUACUCUGCACUGGCAAUGUUUUUGGUCUGUGAGUUUGGAAAUUUCUCAGUUCAUCUGAUUUUGAAUCGAAUCAGCUGUAAUGGGUCCAGGCCUACAGAGAUUCCAUAUCCUACAAAUAAUCCAUUCACUUGGCUCUUUUUCUUCGUCUCCUGCCCAAACUACACAUAUGAGGUGGGAGCAUGGAUCAGCUUCACAGUCAUGACACAGUGUGUUCCAGGUAGACAUUAUUCCAUCACACACAAUCUGUACACUACAAUAAAGAGUCAAAGGCUGCAUCUGAAAUUGUAUACUUUCCUAGAGCCUACUAUAUACUAAGUACUAACAGCAGUGCUUUUUCUGUUUGUUUUAUGGAGAACUUGUUUUAACUAUGGAAGCCUGUUUUACCCACUGAAUAAAAAAUAAGAAAAAAGGUUAUUGCAACUUUAUCUCACAAUUCUCUUUUUUUUUCUCUCAAAAUUGCUCAAAAAAGUCUUGCUAUUCUAACUUUAACAUAUCUGAGUUUAUAUCUUUAUAACUUUAUAACAGCUGCAAGUUUAUGCCUCUCAGUUCUGAGAACGAAAGUCUGAAUUGUGAGUUUGUCUCACAAUUUUGGUAAAAAAAGUCAGAAUUCAAAAUGUAAACUCACAAAUGCGAGGAAAAAAGUCUGAAUUGUGAGAAAAAAGUCGCAAUUACCUUUUUGUUUAUUUUUUAUUCAGUGGCUUAAAUGAGCUUCCAUACUUAACAGGCCAAUAAGAGAAUGUUAACUACUACUCUUCCUUUUAAUUACACAAAUGUCUCAGAAAUGUCUACACACCUAUAAAACUGUUUAGGUAGAGAUUAGGUAGAAAGUAUAGACUGGUUCUAUGUUUUUUUGUACAUCUGCUCAAUCAUAUAACAAACAAUUUGAUUGACAGCAGUGGUUUUAGAAGCAAAGUUGUCCAGAAUGAGGAGUUCUAGCAUAUAAUAUGAAUAUCACGUUUAUGUGUGAAAAACGCGCAAUGUACAAUUGUUUACAAUUAAAUUUUGUUCCGAUCGGCCUCCAUUAACCGUGUCUAACAAGUGCUCAAACUUCAUCGGCCACGUUUUUUUUUUAGUUAUGCAAAUGUCCUUAUAGACACUUGUGGCACUUUGGACAAAGACCGUGCUGAGCGAUUUUCAUGAUAGAACAAAUGGUUACGUAGGUAUAGCCAUUUUUAAUUUUUUUUUCCCCUCUGAUAGCACCACCAAGUGGCAAAGCUCCACAAUUUGUAUCACGUGACCUCACAUUGAGCUCUUACAUAAGUGUUCUGAGUUUGGUGAAGAUAUCUCAUUUUGUUCAGGAGUUAUAGGCAUUUUUCUAAAAGUGGCCCUGCCCUUUCGAAAGUUUUGGCAUUUCUUUGUGACGGUGAGUUAAAAGUUAAACUUUUUUUCACUCUCCACAGAACCUUUCUGCGCUGGUUUGGUUCAGAUCGGGUGAAAAACCUAGGACUAGUUCGCAAACGUUUUGGGAAAUACCCAAAAUACCCAAAAAUGUUGCCAGGCUCACAAUCAAAACUGUUGCAUGCGUUUUUUUUUUUUU
Labeo rohita (rohu) is the source of this 2284-nucleotide RNA transcript. It is a transcript of the gene named trans-2,3-enoyl-CoA reductase-like 2b, with no coding region annotated. NCBI's taxonomy places the organism in Eukaryota, Metazoa, Chordata, Actinopteri, Cypriniformes, Cyprinidae. The record is from RefSeq and is a predicted model, not a curated record. The transcript has 12 exons.